UGGUCUGGAUCCAAGUUACUUUUUGAGUGUGUAAAGCUGGAAAUGUGGUGCAAGUUUUCCAAUCAAAUGGAUUAAGAAUUGAUAUACCAGCAACUCGUACCUGAGUAGUUUAGUACGUUUAUAACUGCCAAGAUCCCCUGGAGCUGAAAAGCACAAAAAUUCUCCAUCCAUCAUCAGUAAUUUGGUAUAAGUCUCGGUCUACCAAUAUUAGCAGCCGUCACUUGGGUCAAUCAGGACACACAUGUCAUAAUUUAUAAUUAGUUAGUGGAAAUAAAUACCUAAUUACAGAAUCAUUUCCUCUGGGAAACAAGAUUUUAGUUUGAAAAGAUUUGUUUAGCGCACAUAUGAUAUGCAUUGGGACAGGAAUGACUUCUAUAACAGAGUUUCUCUUGUUCGUAUUAACAGCUAAUAUGCUUCCGAUUUGUUCUUCAUAAAAUACGAACCUAUAAAUUGACAAUAGUUAUCUAUAUUAUCCGCAAGCUAGCCAAGACGAAGUACUUGCAAAGCAAGAGUUGAUUGUGUGAUAUUUUAAUAACCCACAACUUCCACUCACACUAUUUCUAAAUUGGCUGCUCUGGCGUGCUCAGCCAGUAAUGACUUAUUAUUAAGUUUAAGCUUGUUUUUCAAAGUCUUAUAAAGAGGCAAAACGCACAAACUCUCCCUCUUCAAACCUGAAAUCCAUCACAUUCAAACAACUCCUCUAGUGCGCCUACAAACGCCAGUCAUACUCAGCUACCUUCUACCCUUAUAAAUAUACAAGCUCCCGUGUCGUUUCAUUUCUGUGGAUCAACCCUAAAUAUAAGUACAAUUGUGUUUGUACCUCUACAAGGUGGAUCAUCAUGAUUCUUCAGAGUGCAUUUGUGCUGAGGAGUAUAAGGGCUGUGCUAAUUAUAGGUAUGAUAUUACUAGGAGGCAUGGCUACGAAGGGAGAUUCGAUGAAAGUGAAAAGUAUGGAAUUCUUUAGCUCAAUUCAGAGCGAGCUUCCCAGAGGUCCGGUGCCUCCUUCGGAUCCUUCUCCAUGCCAUAACAGGGUGAAGCUCACGCAUGAAGGAUCGCAGUACUCUUAUGGUCAUGCUCAUUUCAUCAUGUGCCCGUGAUUAACUUCUAUCCCAUACUCCGACAACUUAUUAUUUCAAUCAUUUACGUUGUUGUAACAGCUCAAACCUUCAAAGUUCCAGUUCAUAGUCUUUAAACAGAGUUCAUGACCGGGUUCGAGUAUCAGGAGAGACACGUCCGAGUACAAGUUAUACUUGUUUGGUUUCAAAUCUCAUCAAAUGUGUCGUUAAUCUUACAGCAACGUCUUGUUCUGUAUCAGUGAAAUGUGUGCAAGUAGUCCUAUAUUUGAAGAACAAAACCUUUUGUUCUUUUUCUUGUUGAUAUCAUAGUAGAGUUUUCAUUUUUUUGUAAUCGUAUCUUAUCUGCCAAAACAAUAACUUUUCCGUUUUGCUAUGGGAUCUAUUAAUUUUUCUACUCAUGUAACCAUGAAUUUUUGUAAUUGUAACUAGUAGUUCUCGCAUUCAAAGUAGAUUCCUGUUUCUCAAAUAUGCUUAUGGUGUUAAGGACUGACAAAUAAACCAAUAGACGUUGUGGUUCGAAUCAUGUUCUGUAUCGAUACAUCUGAUUAACACCUGGAUUCCACUUUUGAAUAAGAUUUGAGAGCAAUCAUAUCUCUGAUAUUUUUUUCA
Molecule: long non-coding RNA, 1685 nt
Filed under: Daucus carota (carrot)
Lineage: Eukaryota; Viridiplantae; Streptophyta; Magnoliopsida; Apiales; Apiaceae
Description: long non-coding RNA (DCAR_LNC001447)
Source: RNAcentral